GAAAUGCGAUAAGUAAUGUGAAUUGCAGAAUUCAGUGAAUCAUCGAAUCUUUGAACGCACCUUGCGCUCCUUGGUAUUCCGAGGAGCAUGCCUGUUUGAGUGUCAUGAAACCCUCAAACCCAAGUUUUGGAUUUCCGACUCAUCUUAAAAGUAUUAGCUGGAUCUGUCUAUAUGACUGGUUUGACUUGGCAUAAUAAGUAUUUUGCUGAGGACAUCUUCGGAUGGCCAGUACCUAGACUACUGUCUGCUAACUAAACCAUCACUUUAAGUGCAUCUUUGGAUGUUACUCAUUGUGUAACUUUGACAUCUGGCCUCAAAUCAAGUAGGACUACCCGCUGAACUUAA
Molecule: unclassified non-coding RNA, 345 nt
Filed under: uncultured fungus
Lineage: Eukaryota; Fungi
Description: sequence contains ITS1
Rfam family: 5.8S ribosomal RNA (bases 1-105)
Source: RNAcentral